This 298-nucleotide long non-coding RNA is filed under the name Mytilus galloprovincialis (Mediterranean mussel). The record is from RNAcentral. Lineage: Eukaryota; Metazoa; Mollusca; Bivalvia; Mytilida; Mytilidae.
CUGGAAACUACCUUUAGUACUUCAUUGGUUUAUUUGACAGCUAGUUCUUAAAUUGUUGUAUUGAGAGAAAUUGAUAUUCAAAAUAUAGUAAAAAAACACAAGGACUAAUAAAAAUAAGAAGAUGUGAUAUAAUGGCAAACCCCACAAGAAACCAAAUGAUUAAUAAGGUUGCAAUAAAAGGCCAACUUCCCGCUUUCAACAUCCGGCAAAGUAAUUCAAACGAGUAAACAAGAGCUCUAACUGCCUGAUUCAUAUUCAGAUCGAGUAAACGAGAAAAAAAUAUGAUACCGUGACAACA